GACUCUUGCUUGAUGA
RNAcentral lists this small RNA (16 nucleotides) under Arabidopsis thaliana (thale cress). RNAcentral's name for it is "ATSL061570". The record is from RNAcentral. Lineage: Eukaryota; Viridiplantae; Streptophyta; Magnoliopsida; Brassicales; Brassicaceae.